UACGGAGGGAGCAAGCGUUACUCGGAUUUAUUGGGCGUAAAGAGCGUGUAGGCGGCCAGGUAGGUCUGCUGUGAAAACUCGAGGCUCAACCUCGAGACGUCGGCGGAAACCAUCUGGCUAGAGUCCGGAAGAGGAGAAUGGAAUUCCUGGUGUAGCGGUGAAAUGCGCAGAUAUCAGGAAGAACACCCGUGGCGAAGGCGGUUCUCUGGGCCGGAACUGACACUGAGGAGCGAAAGCGUGGGUAGCAAACAGG
This 253-nucleotide ribosomal RNA is filed under the name uncultured bacterium. Its description in RNAcentral is "partial 16S ribosomal RNA". It matches the Rfam family "Bacterial small subunit ribosomal RNA", at positions 524 to 776 of the family's 1533-position model. The record is from RNAcentral.